RNAcentral lists this long non-coding RNA (392 nucleotides) under Gallus gallus (chicken). RNAcentral's name for it is "lncRNA (ENSGALG00010013939.1)". The record is from RNAcentral. Lineage: Eukaryota; Metazoa; Chordata; Aves; Galliformes; Phasianidae.
CUUCUUGUUCCCAGCCUAAAUCCUUUCUCCUUUUCAUCUCUCCCUGAGGAUACAAACAGGAUUCUGCUGCCCCUGACCACUCUGCAAGUCCAGCAUAUUAUGAAGCAUUUCCAAAUCUUCUGUCAUCACAUAAUGAACUCUGCAGAAUACAAUCAACAGCUGUUGUGCUGCUGGCAAGGGGGACGUUGUAUGCAAGCUGCCUUUCAACUCAAAAGAAAGACCCUAAAAAAAACCCAAAAUAUUAAGAGAUUGAUUCUCCUCCCAAAGUUAAAGUAUGGCAUGAAAAGUGGAUCACUGCUUCAAAAUGGACCACCUGAUUUAAUGGCAGCUGGCCAUUAAUUCUCUGGAAAUUGUUUUCCACCUCAAAUGCUGUUCUUUAAACAAAAGUCUGC